CCAUUUCCAUCCGUCUCUCACCGCUUUGCUCUACUGCUCAUAUUGCUCAUUUCUCUUCUUCUGCCUCCAAAAUUUCGCUCCUGUUGUCCUACCCAUGAUCCUACGAGAACCAGCUCUUGUUCUCGUGAUUAUUUCCGAUUCAUUGCCAUCAGAUUCCAUCAGGCUUCUGCACCGUCGUAUGGCGGUUUGUGAUUCUCCAUCCAGCUUGUUCUAGUGAAAAUUUCUCUCAUCUAUGGCUGCUCGAGGGGUCGAUUUCAAGUGGUAUGACGGUUUUUUCUUGUCGAUGCUCGCGAUUAGUGUAGUAGUUGUUUCGAUCAACUGGAAGAGGUACCAUACUUGUGUACAUCCCUUGCAUAUAUGGAUUUUGGUUGAUUAUACUACCGUCUUUGUUUUCCGUCUGCUGAUGUUUGUAGAUAAUGGACUUGCUGCUGGAAUGGGUUUGGACUUUGGGUGGCAGCAGAGGUAUGCUCGAUUCUGUGGAAGAAUUGUGGUCCUUUCAAUCCUUGCACUUCUGCUAUAUCCAUUUCUUUGGGCUUGGACUGCCAUCGGUACUUUAUGGUUUAGAGAAGCCCAUAAAUGUCUUUUUGAGCAAGGCCAGAAAUGGGGAUUCCUUAUUUGGCUUCUUUUUAGCUACUGUGCACUCGUAUGCAUUGCUUGCGUGUCAUUGGGAAAGUGGUUAACUCGUAGACAAGCACUCUUGUUUCGGGCGCAACAAGGGAUCCCUGUAUCAGAAUAUGGGGUCUUGGUUGACAUGAUCCGAGUACCUGAUUGGGCUUUUGAAGCCGCAGGACAAGAAACAAGAGUAAUGGGCCAAGAUGCUGCUGCAUAUCAUCCUGGACUUUAUUUGACUCCUGCUCAGAGGGAAGCUGUGGAAGCACUUAUUGAGGAACUUCCCAAAUUCAGGUUAAAGGCUGUUCCAACAGAUUGCAGUGAAUGUCCUAUCUGCUUAGAAGAGUUCCAUGUAGGGAACGAGGUUCGUGGCCUCCCUUGUGCUCAUAAUUUCCAUGUAGGAUGCAUUGACGAGUGGCUUCGACUAAAUGUGAAAUGCCCUAGAUGUCGCUGCUCAGUCUUCCCAAACCUCGAUCUUAGUGCUCUGUCCAAUCUUCAUUCUGAUACUGAAAGGCCAUCUGCAAGUGUUGUUACGGCCAACCGUUAUAUGAGACCUCAACCUUCCAGCCAAAGUUAUCUGGUGAGAUUGCAGGGUCUGCUUCGGCCUGUUCGCACAGAAAACACUGUUGCACACUGUGAUUUAGAGUCUGCUAGUGCUUUGGAAGUUGCUGAGAAUGCUGAGAAUGGAUCUUCCCAUGACCAAACUAUACCGGAAAGGUCUCCCGUAAGACCCAUGCCUUUGAGUCAGUCCACGUCACAACGCUAGUGCUUGACUAUUCAGCCGCCUGGGAAGGGAGACUGGGCAUGUGCUUCAAAGCAGAUCUUGCAAUUCCACUGGAGAAUCUUCUAGGUUUACAGGUCAGGUCAUGUUUUAUCGGAAAAUGUCCGCACUCCAUUCCCCACUAGCAGUGUAGCAGUGACCAAGUAGAGCAGCCUCAACGAGGAUUUAGGUUAAUCGGAGAAAGUGAUUGGUCUGGUUUGAAUGGCUUCCAAUUUUGGCCACAACACCUACAAGGAGACCCACGGGGAAUGUCUAUCCAAUUCCAGGUUUGGUCGUUAUUUCCUUAUUGUUGUUCUUAGAAUCUGUUUUUUUUUUUU
Molecule: RNA transcript, 1707 nt
Organism: Cucurbita moschata (crookneck pumpkin)
Lineage: Eukaryota; Viridiplantae; Streptophyta; Magnoliopsida; Cucurbitales; Cucurbitaceae
Gene name: E3 ubiquitin-protein ligase SIS3-like
Exons: 13
Source: RefSeq, a predicted model, not a curated record